GACGAACGCUGGCGGCGUGCCUAAUACAUGCAAGUCGAGCGAAGCGGCGUAUGGGUGAGUAACGCGUGUGUAACCUGCCCUUAAGUAUGGGAUACCAUUUGGAAACCGAUGCUAAUCCCGGAUAAUAAAGGAUGGACCUGCGAUGCAUUAGCUAGUUGGUAAGGUAACGGCUUACCAAGGCGAUGAUGCAUAGCAGCGUUGAGAGACUGAUCGGUCACAUUGGGACUGAGACACGGCCCAAACUCCUAAGGGAGGCAGCAGUAGGGAAUCUUCCACAAUGGAAGAAAGUCUGAUGGAGCAAUGCCGCGUGAGUGAAGAAGGUUUUCGGAUCGUAAAGCUCUGUUGUUGGUGAAGCGGUAAUCAACCAGAAAGUCACGGCUAACUACGUGCCAGCAGCCGCGGUAAUUC
Molecule: ribosomal RNA, 408 nt
Filed under: uncultured bacterium
Lineage: Bacteria
Description: partial 16S ribosomal RNA
Rfam family: Bacterial small subunit ribosomal RNA
Source: RNAcentral